RNAcentral lists this long non-coding RNA (202 nucleotides) under Elaeis guineensis (African oil palm). RNAcentral describes it as "long non-coding RNA (EGUI_LNC028625)". The record is from RNAcentral. Lineage: Eukaryota; Viridiplantae; Streptophyta; Magnoliopsida; Arecales; Arecaceae.
UCUCCAAUUGGCCAUCGGGGCCUCGUGAUGCAGCUUGAGAGAUAUUUCUGGUAAGUCAAAGGUAUUUAAUUUAAUAAUUUACGAUAGGUUUAUAUUCUAUUUAUUAAUAUACGCUUGCUUCUAUUUGUAGAGGUACUACCAAUUCUUAUCUCCUCAGGAUGAAGAGGUUGACCGAUCGAUGUUCGAGCAGACGGCCUCACAU